AUGCUUUGUCCAAGGGAGGAGGACAGCAUGUGUGAGCGAGCCUGAGAUGUGCCCGCAUAGAGAGCAAAACUACUGAUGCUUUCUAUUUUGCUUGGUUGCAGACAGGUCUACGAGGGGAGUCCCCCACCACUGGAAGAUGGCCUUGGCUAUAUCGGGGUGAAGGAACCACUCUUUCCAAAGCAAGAGGAGCUGUUGGCUAUAUCGGGGUGAAGGAACCACUCGUUCCGAAGCAAGAGGAGCUGUUUCAACGACUGUUGUGGGUGUCCCCUGAAGUCAUGAAUGAUCACCUCUUGAUCUACGAUUUAUGCCCACCACAGAAGUCUACUGCAGCAAGAUGUUGGCUUGGCGGAUGGAAGUAUUAGACCCCAUGAAGAGAAAUGGAGGAAGUUCACAUCUUAGUGUUACUGUUCUGGGCCUUGAUCCUGUGAUGGCAUCCAGAUAGAUGGACCUUUUCACCCAUGCAGAGACUAAGGCCACGUCUACACUACCCGCCGGAUUGGCGGGUAGUGAUCGAUCUAUCGGGGAUCGAUUUAUCGCGUCUAGCGAUAGCUCUGCCGUCGACUCCGGAACUCCACCAGGGCGAGAGGCGGAAGCGGAGUUGAUGGGGAGCAGCAGCCGUCGAUCCCGCGCUGUGAGAACGCGAAGUAAGUGAUUCUAAGUCGAUCUCGUAGCUAUUCUCGUAGCUGAAGUUGCGUAUCUUAGAUCAAUCCCCCCACCCCCAGUGUAGACCAGGCCUUAGGCCCCCUAUGUCCUAUGAAGAUUUACCCAAGGGCUUAAUUUAAAAAGCAUGAGCUGUUCCAUUGAAAUCAAUGGGACUCAGGCCCUUAGUCACUUAAGGAUUCAAAUCCAA
This is a long non-coding RNA of Chelonia mydas (Green sea turtle), 850 nucleotides long. RefSeq lists it as uncharacterized. The record is from RefSeq and is a predicted model, not a curated record. NCBI's taxonomy places the organism in Eukaryota, Metazoa, Chordata, Testudines, Cheloniidae. The transcript is spliced from 3 exons.